This 313-nucleotide small nuclear RNA is filed under the name Nannospalax galili (Upper Galilee mountains blind mole rat). RNAcentral describes it as "7SK RNA (ENSNGAG00000003063.1)". It matches the Rfam family "7SK RNA". Rfam says of the family: 7SK was discovered as an abundant small nuclear RNA in the mid-70s but a possible function has only recently been suggested. Two independent studies have found that 7SK RNA binds the CDK9/cyclin T complex (known as elongation factor P-TEFb). P-TEFb activates transcription by phosphorylating the C-terminal domain of RNA polymerase II. Lineage: Eukaryota; Metazoa; Chordata; Mammalia; Rodentia; Spalacidae. The record is from Rfam by way of RNAcentral.
GGAUGUAAGGGCAAUCUGGCUGCGACAUCUGUCAUCCCAUUGAUCACCAGGGUUGAUUCAGCUGAUUUGGCUGGCUAGUUGGGUGUCCCCUUCCUCUCUCAACGCUCCAUGUGCAUCCUUCUGGGGUGUCCCUCCAGAAUCUGCACACUCCUUCAUCAAAGAGGACAGCCUUCCCUGAUAGAGGAGGAUCAGUAGUCUGGCAAAGAUAUACAAGUAGCUGUGCUCCCCUGCUAGAACCUCCAAACAAGCUCUCAAGAAUAGCAAAGGGUUAUCUGCAAAGAAAAGGAACACCAUUGUUGUUUUGUUUUGUUUU